GGAAUUCUUAGAAGUUCUGUUCUGAGUAAAAGUCCUCCAAAACUUAUGUUUGGUUUGAGACACAAUAUCAACAAGCAGCCCUGGCUGUCUUUAGAACUCUGUAGACCAUGGUGGCCUUGAACUGCAGAGAUCUUUUUGCUUCUGCUUCCUGACUUCUGAGAUUAAAGGUAAAUACUACCACACCUGCCUCUCUUUUUUUCUUCUUCAUUUUUUUUUUUUUUUAAAGAAUACUUUUUCCAUUGGUAGUCAUGGUACAUGCCGCUGAACUCAUCCCAGCAUGCAGGAAGCAGAGGCUUGGUGGAUGGGUCUCUUGAGUUGGAGGCUAGCCUGCCCUACAGAGAGAGAACAAGCAGGGCUAUACAGAGAAACCCUGCCUUGAAAAACCAAACAAAAGAAUACUUUUUCCCAUGCAGCUUACUAAUUUUUAUGUCCGUGAUUUUUCCAUUUUCCUGGGACAUCCUUACUGUUGUUUUUACUACCAUCUUCAUGCAGAUUCCAGCUUAUAUGCAGUUCCAGGAGUAAGAUUCAACUCCUUGGAAACUAUGUAAGGCCAGUUCACAUAUUGGAGUUUCUAGAUAAACAUUGAAAUAAUAGCAGGUCUGAUAGUGCCUAUCUGUGGUUCUACUACUUGGGAGCUGGAGGCAGGGGAACAUAGUGAGACCUUUUCCCCAUCCUUCAAAAACACUGGACUAAUAUAGAGGCUAGACAUGGUAGAAUAAUAUAACUAACCACAAGGUCAAUUUAAGCAAUGACCUCCAUUUAUAAUCUACAUGUAAAGUCUUAUAUCUGAAUCUCAUGGUUUCUUGUUUUGCUAUUGUGCUCAGAAGGUCCAUUCUAAUAGGUUUUUGAUGCUGUGCUACAAAGGAGGUUCUGCCACUUUCUACAGAAGCAUGAUGUCUUAGUUCAUUCUUAGAUGCUUCAUGGCCAGAUGAAACCCAGGAUUCUCAUGUAUGUGGAAAAUAGAGCGCUUUCUAUAUAUACUAGAAGGCUGUGUCUUUUUUUGUUAGCCUGUUUAGUUUUGUCUAAUAGUUGUUACUUUGACUGUGAUUGAUUUUAUUAUACUGGUAGAUGUACAUUUUUAUCUUAUUUUAUUUUAUUUUAUUUAUUGAGACGGGGUCUCAUCAGGCCUGGGACUUGCUCUAUAGACCAGACUGGCCUUCAUCUGCCUGCUUCUGCCUCCCAAGUGCUGGGAUUAAAUAAGUUAAAAAAAAAAAAAAAGACUACUAAAAAACUUUUAUCAGUGGUACAUGAAAAAAAGAUUGUGAUCUCAGAUAAUGGUAGUGCAUAUUUACAUAAUGAAUGAAAUGCACUGUACUGUAUUGAAUGUGUCACUUAACUUUAAAAGAGACUGGAAGUGUGCUGGUAGAGGUCAAAGGAUCUCAGCAUUUCCUAUGACGUGAUAGAGCACAGAGUGCUAUUGGAACUCUGGCACCAGGUGUGAACGGCUUGGUUCAGAGCAGUGAGGUUCUGGUGUGUUAGAGGGGCGUGGCUGUAUAUUUCUGUAUGACUCAGAUCAUUCAGUCACAGUUGUAUACGUGUUCUGGUUCCUUUGAGAUGAAGUUAAUGCAUGGGUAAAUGUGAAAUUUAUGUUGGGCUAAAAUUUUUGUUCUUUCCCCCCUAUUUUCCUCGCUCCUUCUUUCCACUCCUUUGUUUUUCACCAGUAGUGAGGGUGGAACCCAGUACAGUUGCGGCAAGGCUUCUGAAACACUCCAGCAUCGUUCAUUUUAUAGCGAAUAAGCCCGGGUUUCCUUUGUUUGUUUGUUGGGUUUUGUUGGUUCUGUUUUUGUUUGUUUGUUUGUUUUGCUUCCCUGUUCUCUGCGAGCUGUCCAGGUUGUCUUUGAGCUCACUCUGUAGUCCAGGCAGGCUUUGAACAUGUUACCUUUCUUGCCAAUAGUUUGUAAGCAGCUGGAUUUCAGGUCUGGGCCACCUGGCCUGACUAGAAUGAAUUUUAUAUAUAUAGGUUUUUGUUUUUGUUUUAAGUUUAGAGGAAAAGGAAUCUGCCUCGGAUUUGGUGAUUGCUUCUGUUUUAUCUAGGGUGCUUGAUUGAUUACUCUCUGUUUAUUCAGUAAGCUGUAUAUUUUUCACCAGAGGGUUCACUUGUGCAACCAAAUUAGGAUGUUUAGAAUACUAAUGGGUUUGGUAUUAUGGAAAAAAACAAACCAUAAAAUACUAGGUUUGCAAUUUAAACCUGCGACUUCAGUUGUGUCCCACUGAGAUGUUUCCAGGUUUUAACUUUGUUAGCUCAAGUCUCUAUCUCGGCACUCCUGUAGAAGCCAGUAGUGCUGUUUCUUUGUGAUCUGUAAACUGCUGUAGAUUGGGUUUGGGAAAACACUGUAGAAGUCUAGGACUAAGGCUAAAAUCUGAAAAGCUUUAGUUCUGUUGCUAUGUAAACUACUCCUUGUGUUCUACUAAAUAAAUGGCCAUUUUAUAUGCAUACAAAAUUUAUUUUUUGUUUUGUUUUGUUUUUUGAGACAGGGUUUCUGUUCUGAAACUCACUCUGCAGACUAGGCUGGCCUUGAGCUCAGAAAUCCACCUGCCUCUACCUCCCAAGUGCUGGGAUUAAAGGCAUGCGCCACCACUGCCCGGUAACCUAUAGUUGGUUUUUAUUGGUUUGUCAUUGUGGUUUCUCUAUUUAGUAAUGGUUUAUUUUGUUUAUCUACUCCAUAAGAUAUCUUAUUCUUAUCUAUUCUAAAUAAUUAUUUUUAGUUCUAAAACUAUUUUAUCAGAUUAUCUUUUUUUAAUACUUGAAUCAUUUGCCAUAUCAGUUUUAAAAUGAGACUGGUAUUACAAGCUUGGUCAGAUUUAUAUUUUCAUUGUCUGUCUGUGUCUUUCUGUCUCUCAUUCUCUUUCUCUUCUCUCUCUCUCUUUCUCUCUCUCUCUCUCUCUCUCUGUCUGUCUGUCUGUCUCUGUGUGUGUGUAUGUAUGUGUGUGUGUGUGUGUAUGUAUGUGUAUGUGUGUGGCCACAGCUCCUGGCUUUCUAUGUGGUUCUGGGAAUCAAAUUUGGCUUCUCAUACUUGCGUGGCUUCCAUUUUAUGAACUGAGCUUUUUCUUCAGUCCUUCAUUGCCUUUAAUUUGUGUAAUUUUAUUUGUAUAUACUAAGAGAAGAGUAUUCUUUUGUUUUGGUUGAGGGUCAUG
Molecule: long non-coding RNA, 3135 nt
Filed under: Mus musculus (house mouse)
Lineage: Eukaryota; Metazoa; Chordata; Mammalia; Rodentia; Muridae
Description: long non-coding RNA chr10:115394749-115397884
Source: RNAcentral